GACGAACGCUGGCGGCGUGCUUAACACAUGCAAGUCGAACGGAAAGGCCCUGCUUUUGUGGGGUGCUCGAGUGGCGAACGGGUGAGUAACACGUGAGUAACCUGCCCUUGACUUUGGGAUAACUUCAGGAAACUGGGGCUAAUACCGGAUAGGAGCUCCUGCUGCAUGGUGGGGGUUGGAAAGUUUCGGCGGUUGGGGAUGGACUCGCGGCUUAUCAGCUUGUUGGUGGGGUAGUGGCUUACCAAGGCUUUGACGGGUAGCCGGCCUGAGAGGGUGACCGGCCACAUUGGGACUGAGAUAGGGGCCAGACUCCUACGGGAGGCAGCAGUGGGGGAUAUUGCACAAUGGGCGGAAGCCUGAUGCAGCAACGCCGCGUGCGGGAUGACGGCCUUCGGGUUGUAAACCGCUUUCGCCUGUGACGAAGCGUGAGUGACGGUAAUGGGUAAAGAAGCACCGGCUAACUACGUG
This 468-nucleotide ribosomal RNA is filed under the name uncultured bacterium. RNAcentral's name for it is "partial 16S ribosomal RNA". It matches the Rfam family "Bacterial small subunit ribosomal RNA", at positions 28 to 507 of the family's 1533-position model. The record is from RNAcentral.